CCGAUCUCCACCUGGCUAACUUUGCGUCAUGAUUUGGACUUUUGAAUCUUUGAUUUUUUAUGUUUACCAUCGUCGUGGUCAUUACUCGAGAGAAGGAUAGUGAGAAUUUUGACCGGAAAUUUGAAUGGGUGAAAGUAUGGCGAGAGUUAUUAUUAUUAUUAAAAAUGGAUUAUAUUUAUUUUUCGAUGUUAAGUUUUAAUAAUAAAAAUAAAUAAUUUUUUAUAGUAAUACCGAGAGUUUUAUUUCAAUAAUGAAAAAAACAAGUACAAAGGGAGGGCAAAACAGGAAAGUCAUUAUCCGCCCUAGCUGUAACACACAAAAGAAAGCGUAAAACUAAGCAGUAACUCUCGGCGGCUUGUGGGUAAAUGAAAAGACAAAAAGCAUACCCAAACACAAAAGCACCAGCGGAGAAAGAAGAAAUUUUGCUCUAAAAUAAAACCAGAGAUCCAAAAAACGCAGCUUCCAGUCCCUUAGAUCUGAGAAAUCAGACCCGAAAGGUCUCUAGCCAAAAAUACCUCUGCCGCCGCUGGUAAAUCCUCCACCCAAAACCUAAAAACAUUUGAAGAAAUAUAAAUAGCAAUGGAGCUAAAUUAGGGCAGUGAUCGCGUUAUUUAUUUUCAUCCCAUUCUUGCAGUAUAUCAGUAAUAAUAUAUAUGGUGUUUUUCAUCUUAAUCAAAUUAUAAAUACAUGAAUAUUUAAUUUAAAGAAAGUUUUUAUAUAUAAUUCGUUAAAAUAAUAUACUUAUUAAUAAAUACAGAUAUAAUCAUAAUUUGAUACAUAUUUUAAACGAGAUUUAAGCUGAGAUUUAUUGCCACGAUUAGACUGAACUUAACCGAUAAUUUGGUAAACAAUUUAAAUUUUGGAUCAUUUUUUAAUAUUUCUUGACACGGCAGAAAAAUAAAAUUAUUUUUGCUCCCUUAACCUAAACUGAAAUACGUCCCAAGCGGAACGCUUUCCAGUAAUCUACAGGCAAUACCCAUGUGUGAGUUUACUGAAGGUUCGAUAUCCACACUUUGUCGGUAGCCUAAAAGCCAAUAACCACAAGCCACGUGUUUAUUCCCUUCCCCCCUCUCCUCGGUUGCCAUAGUUGAUUUCUCUUCAAAGUCGGAAUACCCGUCUACAUUAUACAAAUUAAGGUUCCUACUUCCUUCCAUCUCAAGGCUCAAGGACCAAACUGCAAUUUUCACUCAUCUCCUCUCACCAUCUUUUCCGGCCGGGAACUUCCACAAAACGUCGCCCUCAAAAGAGAUCUUAAUGCCUCCGAACUCCAGCAGCGACGCUAUAUACUCUACUACAAAAACAAACAGCUCCUCCUCCUCUCUCCAGCUUCAACCUUUUUCAUUUCUAUGGCUGCUCCUUUUCAUCGUCUCACUUCAGGUAACCAUUCUCAUUAUGGCUCGCGCCGUCCCUUUCUACAAUCGCCGAACCCAUUUCCCGAACCCAGUAUCCGACCCGUGCUCGUCGGGUCGUAUCUUCGUUUACAACUUGCCACUUGUUUUCAACCAAGAGUUGUUGGAUAAUUGCCACGAGCUGGACCCAUGGAAUUCACGUUGCGAAGCAUUGUCCAACGGUGGGUUAGGGAGGAAGGCGACGGGAUUAUCCGGCGUCGUACCGGAAGAGUUGAUCCCGGCUUGGUACUGGACAGACCAGUUCGCCAUGGAAGUUAUUUACCACAACCGUAUUUUGAACCAUAAGUGUCGCACCAUGGAACCGGAUUCCGCGACGGCGUUUUAUAUCCCGUUUUACGCUGGACUCGCCGUCGGGAAGUACUUGUGGUCCAAUUAUACUACAAAAGAUCGUGAUAGGUACUGCGAGAUGAUACUAGACUGGGUCCGAGAUCAACCGUAUUGGAACCGUUCCGACGGAUGGGAUCAUUUCACGACGAUGGGACGCAUCACAUGGGAUUUCCGGCGGUCCAAAAACGAAGACUGGGGUUCCCGAUGUAUUUACAUGCCGGGGAUGAGGAACAUCACGCGUCUCUUGAUUGAACGAAACCCCUGGGACUAUUUUGACGUCGGUGUACCUUAUCCUAGUGGAUUCCACCCCAGGUCCGAUUCCGACAUCUUCCAAUGGCAGUACUUCGUCCGUAACCGCCAACGCGACACCCUCUUCUGCUUUGCCGGAGCGCCGCGCGGCGCCGUGAAGAACGAUUUCCGAGGCUUGCUGUUGAACCAAUGUAUGAACGCUUCCGGUUUAUGCCGGGUCGUUGAUUGCGCCGGUACCCGUUGCUCCAACGGCACAUCGGCGAUCCUCGAAACAUUUUUGGAUUCCGAUUUUUGCUUGCAACCCAGAGGCGACAGUUUCACUCGUAGGUCAAUUUUCGACUGCAUGGUCGCCGGUUCCAUCCCCGUUUUCUUCUGGCACCGAACGGCUUAUCUCCAGUACCAAUGGUUUUUACCGAAUGAUCCCAAAAGUUACUCGGUUUUUAUCCACCGGGACGAGGUGAAAAAUGGGACGAGCAUUCAAAGCGUGCUUCAACGUUACAGUAGAGAAGAAGUGAAGAAAAUGAGGGAGAAAGUGAUUGAAUUCAUUCCCAAGAUAAUUUAUGCAAAGCCUGAGAAUGGUUUGGAGAGUAUUAAAGAUGCAUUUGAUGUCGCCAUUGAUGGAGUGUUGAAGAGAAAUAAGGAGCAUGAGCAGCCUGGUUACAAGUGGAAAUGAUGGUUUUAAUGGAAAUUGGAAGCUCGGGGUGAAAAAAAAUAGAAAUGCAGAGAAUAUACAGAAAUUUAUAUUUAUUAUUUUUUCAUUUUUAAAGGAUGGGAUAGGGGCAUGACUUCCCCCUGACAUUGUUAACUUUUUGUAUAUAAUAAUAAUGGUUUGAGGGUGAAAGUUACUGAAUAUGUUAUGUUGUGUUGAGUAAUAAGAGAUUGGCUUUGAAGAUUUAGAAUUUAGAAAUCAGUAGUAAUAUAGCUUAGCUCAUAAAUGAUGUUUGAGUUGAUUCGACAAUUUGUGACUCCCAAUAGAGGUGAGAACAAAGUUAAUGUAAUAUUUAAUCAAACUAGAGGAAUUUUUAUCUUAAUUUAUUAAUAUUUUAUGAAAAUUGGGAACACCGUGAAACUUUAUUUAUGGUGAUAGUGAAGUGAAUUAUAGGGAGGAAAAAAAACAUUAAAGGCAAUUAGAUUAGAAAAUUAAAACAUGUAUAUAUACAAAUUGUUAUGCUACCUCUGCAGGCUGUACUAAGUGAACUUCCAAUAUUACUUCUGUUAGGAGCAUGUGAGAUUUGACACGCAAUGCCACUACAAUUAAACUUAAUCGCUAGUGAGAUCCAGAAACGUAACAUCUCUUAUAUCACUAAAGAGAUGAACACUAAACCUACUACAUCUCUCAACCACACUCGUGACCUUUCUCCCAUCUCUAAGCCGUCUAUUCCUCGUUGCAAUGAUUCUCAUAUGCAAGGGAAGUGUUUGGUAAAUAUAAAAAAUGAAUUGGAAUGACAACCUUUGGAACAUCUUUAAUGGUGGGCCUGUGAGGGGGAAAUGUGGAAUUAAAAAACGCAACAAGGAAUCUAAUUUCUCUUUACUUCUGCACUGCUUUUCUUGUAAUAAAAAACAACAAUGAAAAAACAAAUGAAUUGCAUCCCCUUUUGCUUUUAUUUGUAAUUACAAUUUUCUUUUACCCACCAAUAAUUGUUUAUUACAAAAGACAAGGCUUUGGAGUUCACUGUUUUGUUUGUUUGAAGUAGCAUUCGGUCUCAAAACUCUAGUGGAUCGUCCAAGGUAUUAAAACAUGUGACGCUGAAAAUAGAUGAAGUUAAAUCGUUUAAAUGAAGGAUUUUUUAGUCAAUCAUCAAACGGAGUUAAUAAAUAAAGGACUUUCCACAACCAUCAUGAAAUUGGAUGCCUCACAAAUCUUACCCCAAACUACACCUGUUAUUUUAAUAGUAAAAAUAAUUUUACCCCUCUGGAUCUCCCAUCAUUUAAAUAUUCAUCAUUCGUAAUUAUAAUCUGUAGAUUAUUACUUUUAAUAUGUGUAUAUUGUUCAGGUUUUUGUUUUUUAUAUUAUGUUAUGAUUAAUUGGAUAUAUAUUAACAUUAGAAUUUAUUUUUCAUACUUUAAAAAAAUCAUUCACCUAUACAUUUUUCUUUUGAUAAAAUGAUAAAUAUUUUAAUACUUAGAUUUAAGUAUUUCAUCAGUUUAUAUUUUUUACAAUUUUAAUUUUAAUAUUAUAAAUAUGUAAAUAAUAUUAAAAAAUUAAUUGAAAUUUAAAUUUAAACACCGUAAAGUUCAAGAUAAAAGUAUAAAAGUCGAGUUUAAUUUUUUAAUAGAAAAGUAACAUUGUUUUCCUUUGUAAUCUUGUGGAUAUUUUUGGUUGAAAUUAUUGAUUCAGUGUGGAUAUAAGUGAUUAAUUCUUUUUGAAGAGAUAUUUAAAGUAAAAAGGUAAUAUAAUUAAUCACGACCUUAAUAUUUUUUAUUAAUUGUACAUAUUUUGGAUUGAUGUAAUAAUAAUUUUAGCCCUAAAAGUUACAUAUUCUAUCAAAUUGGUAAUGCUUUAACAUUUAUGUAAAUGUGUAAAUGGUGAGACUAAAUUUGUUGAACUUUUAGAAUCUAGACUAAAUUAAUAAAACAUGUAAAUAUCGAGAGCUGAAUUUAUUGUUGUGCUGAUCAAAAUCAUGUACAAUUUACUGAAGAAAUUAAAGCCAUGACCAUGAUUAAUUGUCCUCUCACUUUCAAAAUUGACAAGGAUUAAAUUGCUUUGAAUUGUUUGAGAGGGAUCAAUUUGAUCGGUUUUGAAAUUGAGAAGGAUUAGAGAGGGCUUUUUACCAUAGCAAAACUAAAAUAUCUAGAUGCAAACGACAUCGUUUCGCAUCCCACUCAAAAGGAGACGUACUCAACUCAAAGUCAAAUCAAAGCCGUCCAGUUUAAAGCAACAUUAGGGUUUGACGGUUUAAUUGAAAGAUUACCACAUGGCAACACUAUAAAAGAAACCGCUAAACCCUAAUUCCCUCCUCUCUUCCUCUGUUUCUGCCCGCCUCACAUUGCAAAAUACUAUAUUUUGCAGCGGCAGAAGGAGCUCUCUCUCUUUCUCUCUGAGACAUCCUUUUAGCUUUUGAUUUUAGUUUAUAACAAUCUUAAUCCAAAUGCCUUCUUUGGCUAUAUCUGACCUCAAAGAGAAGAAAGAAGAGAAAAUGAUGAAGAAGAAGAUCGCUCUCGAAACACCUGAAUCCGAUAAAAAAACGAAGAAGAUCAAGGAACCUAAGGUUAGAGAAGAGGAAGAUGAUUCGGCUGUGAAGAAGAGUAAAAAGAAGCGUAAGGCCUCGGAGCUCCAAAUGGAAGAGGAGGAGAGGAGCGAGACGAGCUCGGAGCUUGUUGAGCCGGUGGAUCCAAAGGAGAAGAAAAAGAAGAAAAAGAAAGCUAAGGUCGAGGAAGAAGGAGAUGGAGAUGGAGAUGGAGAUG
Molecule: long non-coding RNA, 5390 nt
Filed under: Gossypium barbadense (sea-island cotton)
Lineage: Eukaryota; Viridiplantae; Streptophyta; Magnoliopsida; Malvales; Malvaceae
Description: long non-coding RNA (GBAR_LNC020441)
Source: RNAcentral